AUGUCAGCAGUCCUCCCUGUUGUGAUAGAUUGCAUAGGAUGCUGCUUCCGGAUCCAAAGGAACAAUCGACAGACGUCACAAAGAUCCACCUCUGGCUGCAUCAGAAAAUUAUGCUCCUGGCGCCACCAGCGAGUGCACCCCGCUAAUGGGUCGGGGACAGAAGAAACCCCGGGCUCCCAUGAAAGGCUGCCCAGCACCGCAGGAGGAAUAGAGGCUCCAAGUGGCUGCACAAUGCCGGCCGAUGACGCAACUAAUAAUAAUGGCAUGGCUUUGGAGCGCCCCACUCCAGUGACAAACAAUCGGGGUGAAGAAGAAGAAGGUGGGUCUUCCUUGCGGGCAUUGGUUGGAGAGCAGCCAGAUCCUGGGUUCCUUUUGGAAAGGGGGUAGUCUGGGAUGUGGAGCAGGCAGCUCUUUCCCAGUCAUAGUGAUGCCCUGGUGGCACCUGCCCUGGACACAAGUCUCUUGUGUUGAUUCCUUGGGUUGUGACACAUUCCGAGGGACAGGGAGUGAGGUCCAUGUGUGAGCACAUGUGGUGUAAGUAUCUGUUUCCUCAUGAGCUCUCUCCUAUUUAUACAGAAAAUACACCGCUCAACGUUCCUUAAGAAACAUCCCAUCACCUCUGCGUACCACCCCUAUAGGCAUGCAUUCGCCCCUCACCACUGCUGUCCCCACGUUGGCUUAAUUUUCCCGUUGCUCAGGUGGAGAUGGUGCAGAGAGAGUUGGCCCAAGCUCUUGACCUCCUACAUGGGAAAGCCAAAGUGGGACCCAGGCUGGGUUCCCUAUGGGGACGCUCUGGACCCCUGACCUGCACCUCUCCCUCAGCCAGGACUUGGUCGUUCGUGGGAGCACGGAGCGGGGAGGGUCCCUGCUCCGUGUCUAUGCCCGGGAAUUCCAGGGUCUCCAGAGGGCCUGUCGAUGCUGUGCAUUUUAAAAGGUCCCUGUCAGUGCUGCGGUCAUUGCUUCAACAUGGCCAAAGCAGAUGGGAAUCGGCGAGGCGUAUGCUUGUAUUGGACAGUGUCACUGUUCUCACACUUGACCACCCUAGGUAGCACACACCCAGGCGACCUUGCAAGUAAGAGCUCACAGUUCACCCUCAUCCUUAGCCUGGUGUGCGGCACCAUUGUACAAACUCGCUGCCCAUCUGGGUGAGAAGGACUCCGUGCUCCCUCUGUGUUUCUCUCCAUGAAGUAAGUCCCUCUUUGUUGUAAGGCUCUUGGGAGGGCAGACAUCCUUUUUGCUCAAGGCCCAUGCACCAAAUGAAGCCUGCAGAAAAACUGUCAUGUGAUGGAUAGUGGUUGGAUUUCAGUAUUGUCAUGUGUUCUAUUUUUGGUUUUAAGAUCAACGUUUUGGGUUUAAGAUCCUUCAUUAGCAUACUUUUCCUAGAAUU
RNAcentral lists this long non-coding RNA (1387 nucleotides) under Sus scrofa (pig). RNAcentral's name for it is "lncRNA (ENSSSCG00070014441.1)". Lineage: Eukaryota; Metazoa; Chordata; Mammalia; Artiodactyla; Suidae. The record is from RNAcentral.